This is a long non-coding RNA of Lathyrus oleraceus (garden pea), 872 nucleotides long. RefSeq lists it as uncharacterized. The transcript has 4 exons. The record is from RefSeq and is a predicted model, not a curated record. NCBI's taxonomy places the organism in Eukaryota, Viridiplantae, Streptophyta, Magnoliopsida, Fabales, Fabaceae.
CCAGACAAGAAAGGACAAGUAAUUAAAUGCAGUAAUGAAUACUAUCAGGUCCCUAGGAUAGUUUGAUUACCCAAGAGAAUAAACUUUUGAACUCCCCCAUACACAUUUAAAUUUAUUCCAACAGUUAAGACCAUACGUUCUGCCGAUUUGCUUGACCAUGUUAUGGAUUUUGCAGGGUGAAUGUUGGUCAACAGUCCACUUUGUUACAAGAUAAACUAAAAUUUCCCACCCGACUCCAAAGUCACUUGCUUAGGAUUGCUUUGGGCUGCCCAUUGAAGUAUAGCAUGGUACCGCAUCGACUUCUGGUUCUAAACUUGACAAGCCUGUUCGUUGUCCCAAGCCUUGAGUGUCGUAAUGCGGUCAUUCUGCUUUUCCCAAUCAGGUGAUGUUCUUGGUACUGCUGCUACGGUGGACAUUUUCUUUGAAAGGUCUAACGGUGAAAUUUGCUCCUGUUUUAUUUUCCAAGUCAUUAGGAACAACUCUUAUGGUGGUAGAAUAUCAUCGUCAACGCUGUUUCGAGACAGAGUAUAAUUUUCGUAGUGGCUUUCAUCUGCAUAAAAGGAUCCAAUCCAAUUCCAGAAAUUGAUUUUGAAUUAUACCAGAUGAGGUAUUGCAACAGGAGUUGGAGAACGAUGCGACUCCUCUGAAUACUGAACACGUAACUGACUACAUGCGAUACAAUGGAGGUAAUGGCAUUGUCACCACUGUUAGGGGUUAUGCUUUUCCUUGGUAGCCAUCACGCUUCAAAUAUAGAUCCUGUUUGAUGUAAAAACUUUAUAUUUGCAUCUUAAGUUAAAGGUUGUUAAAUAAGCUCUUGGAUUCCGUUUCUUUAGUGUUUAUGCUCAAAGACAUCAUGGUGUUAUGCAUUGCAA